UAGGGAAUCUUCCGCAAUGGGCGAAAGCCUGACGGAGCAACGCCGCGUGAGUGAUGAAGGUCUUCGGAUCGUAAAACUCUGUUAUUAGGGAAGAACAAAUGUGUAAGUAACUAUGCACGUCUUGACGGUACCUAAUCAGAAAGCCACGGCUAACUACGUGCCAGCAGCCGCGGUAAUACGUAGGUGGCAAGCGUUAUCCGGAAUUAUGGGGCGUAAAGCGCGCGUAGGCGGUGUUUUAAGUCUGAUGUGAAAGCCCACGGCUCAACCGUGGAGGGUCAUUGGAAACUGGAAAACUUGAGUGCAGAAGAGGAAAGUGGAAUUCCAUGUGUAGCGGUGAAAUGCGCAGAGAGAUGGAGGAACACCAGUGGCGAAGGCGACUUUCUGGUCUGUAACUGACGCUGAUGUGCGAAAGCGUGGGGAUCAAACAGG
RNAcentral lists this ribosomal RNA (429 nucleotides) under Actinomycetes bacterium. RNAcentral's name for it is "Actinobacteria bacterium partial 16S ribosomal RNA". It matches the Rfam family "Bacterial small subunit ribosomal RNA", at positions 355 to 776 of the family's 1533-position model. Lineage: Bacteria; Bacillati; Actinomycetota; Actinomycetes. The record is from RNAcentral.